GAUGAACGCUAGCUACAGGCUUAACACAUGCAAGUCGAGGGGCAGCAUGAUUGAAGCUUGCUUCAAUCGAUGGCGACCGGCGCACGGGUGAGUAACACGUAUCCAACCUGCCGAUAACUCGGGGAUAGCCUUUCGAAAGAAAGAUUAAUACCCGAUAGUAUAGUAUUUCCGCAUGGUUUCACUAUUAAAGAACUUCGGUUAUCGAUGGGGAUGCGUUCCAUUAGAUAGUUGGCGGGGUAACGGCCCACCAAGUCAACGAUGGAUAGGGGUUCUGAGAGGAAGGUCCCCCACAUUGGAACUGAGACACGGUCCAAACUCCUACGGGAGGCAGCAGUGAGGAAUAUUGAUCAAUGGACGAGAGUCUGAACCAGCCAAGUAGCGUGAAGGAUGACUGCCCUAUGGGUUGUAAACUUCUUUUAUACGGGAAUAAAGUGGAGUAGGCAUACUCCUUUGUAUGUACCGUAUGAAUAAGGAUCGGCUAACUCCGUG
This 489-nucleotide ribosomal RNA is filed under the name uncultured bacterium. RNAcentral describes it as "partial 16S ribosomal RNA". It matches the Rfam family "Bacterial small subunit ribosomal RNA", at positions 28 to 507 of the family's 1533-position model. The record is from RNAcentral.